GGAAGAGCUACGACUUGCCUGCUAACCUUGACCUUCUCCUGACCAAAUGGGCUGCCUUAGUCUUCCUCCUUCUCUCCUUCCUCCCCCACUCUGCCCGCUGUUAAAAAUAAAGCCUUGUUUGCUUCUUAAAUCACGAGCUUCCUCCUUCCUCAGGAGGGAGGGGGCGGAGAGGCCUGGAAGGAGAGACUGUAGUAGGAGGUGUCUGUCUGCUCCCAGAAACUGUCUUCGGCAGAGAAGAGCUGUGGGGUUUAACAAAACAAGCAUGAUUAAUUACUAAGAGGCAAGGAGGGAACCCCGCCCCACCCUUGCUCCGUGGGCCUGCUUUUGUGUGGUAACAGGGAGGCAGAGACGCCAGGGGAGGAUUGGAAGUGGGAGGUGGAAGCUCGUUAUUGGCAGGGAACGUGUCUGUUAAUUCUGCUUUUUGUACUCUCCCAAAUGCUUACUUCAGUACUCUGCCUACAAUAAAAACUCCAUAAAUGCCAUUGAUUGAGCAGAAAGGUGGGUGGUACCUUUUUUUCCCUGCUUCCUUUCCCCCGUGAUCCUUUGCAUUGGGUCAGUGGAAGCAUUCUUCACCCACUGCAGCAGGAGAAAGUGGAGUCUUUCUAAGUCCUUCUGGCUCCUGCACUCCCGGUUCAGGUCAACUCACAGGUUAUGCAGCAGGAAACAGACUGUCAUCAUACCAGCCCACCCUAACCAGGGUGGUGAAAUAGUUCACAGGUAUUAGGCAAGGAGAGGGAGCGGAGGCUGAUGGGCAGAUUACUCUGCAGAAGCUAAGUGAUGGUGGCCUGUUGCCAGACGAACUCCAGCUGUGGGACUGGGUAUUUACCUCUUCAGAAGUCACGAAGCUCCAGUGCUGUUGAUGGGGGAACGGAGGCACAGAAAAGUGAAGUGUUUGCUCAGGGUCACACUUGCGCCAUCCGCUCCAGAAAUCCUGGCCCAGGUAUCCUGGAGCAGACAGAGCCAGGGUUCGACGAUAAGUGCUGGCCAGAUCCCAACAGACGGGCAGGGAAAGUGGGGAUGUGAAGAACUGCACCUCCCUCGAGACGUGUCCAUCUUCGCCAGGACAGGGCUUCUGAAGGCACCCACUGGGCUCCAGAGCAGACAGCUCUGCCGGUUUGCUACCAACACCAUUUUGCUGCUGGCUGUGAUGGAGGAAUGGGGCAGACAAGUGAAAGCAACCUUCGGGUCCUCACCUCAAGGCCAAAAAUCAGUAGGAGGGCCGAUGGUGCUGUGACUGUGCCCCUUCUCCUGAGUUGGUACCUAUGGAAUCUGCCAUCAUUAUUAUUAAUGAUAUUUAUUGAGCACUUACUAUGUGCAGGGCAGCGUACAAGUCGGUUAGAGGUAUUGAGUGCUUACGAUGUGCAGAGCACUGUCCUAAGCAUCGGGGAGAGUACAGUACAACACAGAAUUUACUAGCCUAGGGUCUCUACCCGGGGCCAGGAAACUUGGGUCCUACUCCUCCCCAGAAGUAAAGGCUUAGGCGAGGGCAAAGACCCUGACCCCUCUGGGGGGCUGCGGGGAGAAGGGAGAUGGGCCAGAUGGAAGCAUAAAGAGGGGCAGCAUGGCCUAGCGGCUAGAGGCCUGGCCUGGGAGGCAGAAGGUCAUGGGUUCUAAUCCCGCCUCCGCCACUUGUCUGCUGCGUGGCCUCGGGCAAGUCACUUUACUCCCCUGGGCCCCAGUUCCCUCAUCUGUAAAAUGGGGAGUGAGAGGGGGAGCCCCUCGUGGGACAGACAGUGUCCAACUCGAUUUGCUUGGAUCCACCCCAGCGCUUGGUACAGCGCCUGGCGUCUAGGAAGCGCGUAAUCAGCACCAUUAUUAUGAAAAAGGGGGUUGAGACGGGAGGGGGGCGCGGCACAUGGGACAGGGACGGUGUCCAACUCGAUCUGCUUGGAUCCACCUCAGCGUUUAGUACGGUGCCUGGCACGUGGGAAGGGCUGAACCAACACCAUUAUCAUCAUUAUUGUUAUUCCUACUAUUGCGGACGGCGAGUGUUUAGGGGUCUGGAGUCCGGUUGGUAGGUGGGCAGGGGCAGAAGCAGGAUCAGGGGCUCCCCGGUGCCUCCCGCACUUGGGGGUGCGGCGGGGGUUGGGGGGCUCCUCUCGGGCCUGGGAGCCGCGGGGCGGGGGGAGGACAGAGACACAGAGAGAGAGAGAGACACCCCGGGAGAGAGAGAGAGACACCCCGGAGAGAGAUCCGGGGAGAGAGAGACACCCCGGAGAGAGAGAGAUCCCGGGGAAAGAGAGACACCCCAGGGAGAGAGAGACACCCCGGGGAGAGAGAGAGACUUGGAAGAGGGAGACACCCUGGGGAGAGAGAGACCCGGCGGGGAGAGAAGAGAGAAAGAGUCGAGGCCCCG
This 2356-nucleotide long non-coding RNA is filed under the name Ornithorhynchus anatinus (platypus). RNAcentral's name for it is "lncRNA (ENSOANG00000043164.1)". Lineage: Eukaryota; Metazoa; Chordata; Mammalia; Monotremata; Ornithorhynchidae. The record is from RNAcentral.